ACGGCCCAGACUCCUACGGGAGGCAGCAGUGGGGAAUAUUGCACAAUGGGGGAAACCCUGAUGCAGCCAUGCCGCGUGUGUGAAGAAGGCCUUCGGGUUGUAAAGCACUUUCAGUAGGGAGGAAAGGGUGUAGUUUAAUACGCUAUAUCUGUGACGUUACCUACAGAAGAAGGACCGGCUAACUCCGUGCCAGCAGCCGCGGUAAUACGGAGGGUCCGAGCGUUAAUCGGAAUUACUGGGCGUAAAGCGUGCGCAGGCGGUUUGUUAAGCGAGAU
This 275-nucleotide ribosomal RNA is filed under the name Shewanella sp. M16. Its description in RNAcentral is "partial 16S ribosomal RNA". It matches the Rfam family "Bacterial small subunit ribosomal RNA", at positions 326 to 593 of the family's 1533-position model. The record is from RNAcentral. Lineage: Bacteria; Pseudomonadati; Pseudomonadota; Gammaproteobacteria; Alteromonadales; Shewanellaceae.